UAGGGAAUAUUAGUAAUGGGCGAAAGCCUGAACUAGCAACGCCGCGUGUGCGAAGAAGGCCUUCGGGUUGUAAAGCACUUUUUGAGAGGAUGAGGAAGGACGGUACUCUCAGAAUAAGUCUCGGCUAACUACGUGCCAGCAGCCGCGGUAACACGUAGGAGGCAAACGUUAUCCGGAUUUACUGGGCGUAAAGCGCGUGUAGGUGGUUUGGUAAGUAGGGCGUGAAAGCUCCUGGCUCAACUGGGAGAGGACGUUCUAAACUGCCAGGCUAGAGGAUGGUAGAGGGAGGUGGAAUUCCGGGUGUAGCGGUGGAAUGCGCAGAUAUCCGGAGGAACACCAGUGGCGAAGGCGACCUCCUGGACCACUACUGACGCUCAGACGCGAAAGCUAGGGUAGCAAAC
This 401-nucleotide ribosomal RNA is filed under the name uncultured bacterium. RNAcentral's name for it is "bacterial SSU rRNA". It matches the Rfam family "Bacterial small subunit ribosomal RNA", at positions 355 to 773 of the family's 1533-position model. The record is from RNAcentral.